UCCGGCUUAUCACCGGCAGUCCCUUUAGAGUGCCCAACUUAAUGAUGGCAACUAAAGGCGAGGGUUGCGCUCGUUGCGGGACUUAACCCAACAUCUCACGACACGAGCUGACGACAGCCAUGCAGCACCUGUGUUCCCGCCAGCCGAACUGAAGGAUCCCGUCUCCGGGACCCAUACGGGACAUGUCAAGGGUUGGUAAGGUUCUGCGCGUUGUAUCGAAUUAAACCACAUGCUCCACCGCUUGUGCAGGCCCCCGUCAAUUCCUUUGAGUUUCGGUCUUGCGACCGUACUCCCCAGGCGGGGUGCUUAAUGCGUUAGCGACGGCACGGAGAGGGUUGAUGCUCCCCACACCUAGCACCCAACGUUUACGGCUGGGACUAC
RNAcentral lists this unclassified non-coding RNA (381 nucleotides) under uncultured Alphaproteobacteria bacterium. RNAcentral describes it as "contains 16S-23S intergenic spacer region". Lineage: Bacteria; Pseudomonadati; Pseudomonadota; Alphaproteobacteria. The record is from RNAcentral.